GAUGAACGCUGGCGGCGUGCCUAAUACAUGCAAGUCGAGCGAACAGAUGAGGAGCUUGCUCCUCUGACGUUAGCGGCGGACGGGUGAGUAACACGUGGAUAACCUACCUAUAAGACUGGGAUAACUUCGGGAAACCGGAGCUAAUACCGGAUAAUAUUUUGAACCGCAUGGUUCAAUAGUGAAAGACGGUUUUGCUGUCACUUAUAGAUGGAUCCGCGCUGCAUUAGCUAGUUGGUAAGGUAACGGCUUACCAAGGCGACGAUGCAUAGCCGACCUGAGAGGGUGAUCGGCCACACUGGAACUGAGACACGGUCCAGACUCCUACGGGAGGCAGCAGUAGGGAAUCUUCCGCAAUGGGCGAAAGCCUGACGGAGCAACGCCGCGUGAGUGAUGAAGGUCUUCGGAUCGUAAAACUCUGUUAUUAGGGAAGAACAAAUGUGUAAGUAACUAUGCACGUCUUGACGGUACCUAAUCAGAAAGCCACGGCUAACUACGUG
This 497-nucleotide ribosomal RNA is filed under the name uncultured bacterium. RNAcentral's name for it is "partial 16S ribosomal RNA". It matches the Rfam family "Bacterial small subunit ribosomal RNA", at positions 28 to 507 of the family's 1533-position model. The record is from RNAcentral.